Molecule: transfer RNA, 59 nt
Filed under: Vibrio cholerae HC-59A1
Lineage: Bacteria; Pseudomonadati; Pseudomonadota; Gammaproteobacteria; Vibrionales; Vibrionaceae
Also listed under: 2 other names
Description: partial tRNA-OTHER
Rfam family: tRNA
About the family: Transfer RNA (tRNA) molecules are approximately 80 nucleotides in length. Their secondary structure includes four short double-helical elements and three loops (D, anti-codon, and T loops).
Source: RNAcentral
GUUAGAAUACCGGCCUGUCACGCCGGGGGUCGCGGGUUCGAGUCCCGUCCGCUCCGCCA